UCCAGUGUCCAGUUUUGAUUGAGCGGCCACUCGGGAAGGAGUGUUCCGUUCGAUCUACAUAUUUUGAAAAAGUGCUUGACAAUCGGUAGCUACUGAAAGACCUAUAUCAUUGGAGCUUUCGUGAAUUCCGUAACUCGGAGAUUUUUCCAUCAGCACUGGUUUUCCGUCUUGGAUUCGACGGCAGUUCAGCUUCGGUGACAGGAGCGGCGACAUCAGGAGCGACAUCAGUAGCAAAGCAGGUUCCUCAGAGCGACGAUGGAGAGAGAGAACGAUGACCAUUGCGUGACGAAACCAAAUCAGGACAUCAACGAGUCUCUCCCAAGAUCGACUCCUCUUCAUCCCAUUCCGCUA
RNAcentral lists this unclassified non-coding RNA (351 nucleotides) under Athalia rosae (coleseed sawfly). Its description in RNAcentral is "misc RNA ENSAEAG00005006696.1". The record is from RNAcentral. Lineage: Eukaryota; Metazoa; Arthropoda; Insecta; Hymenoptera; Athaliidae.